UCUCGGAAUAAAGAUGAGAUCCCAAUUUUUUGGGAAGAGAUUGCCGGGGUCCGAGGAAGUGCACCCCGGACCUCAUUGAGCAUGGAAUGGAAGUACUGUGGAAUCUAGUAGAGGCUCAAUUUGUGUUUUCCUGUGGUCCUAGUUCUUCUUUGCUCUAUCGAUGGCAAAGCGGAUGCGGUUGGAGUGCGAUAUUACAAGGAGUGCAGCUGCAUGCGGCUCAAUUGCGGUGUACGGGGUGGUGUUGGAUUGGAUCUAGCUGCCGCAAGUCAAGGAGUGGUGGUGGCACAAGGCAAAUUCGGAAGAGUGGCUGGAACAAUCAGCCUAUGAGAAAUUGCAGUAGCCAUUCUUGAUUAUAGUCUCGGGGUGACUUCCGUUGUACUCCAGAGAGGUAGUUUUGACUUCAUAGUUUAUGAACACAUUUUCAGUAGAUUUAAAAAAAAAAAAAAAAAAAAAAAAAA
Physcomitrium patens is the source of this 458-nucleotide non-coding RNA. NCBI's taxonomy places the organism in Eukaryota, Viridiplantae, Streptophyta, Bryopsida, Funariales, Funariaceae. The record is from RefSeq and is a predicted model, not a curated record.